RNAcentral lists this ribosomal RNA (221 nucleotides) under uncultured bacterium. Its description in RNAcentral is "partial 16S ribosomal RNA". It matches the Rfam family "Bacterial small subunit ribosomal RNA", at positions 109 to 334 of the family's 1533-position model. The record is from RNAcentral.
AGUAAUGUAUGGGGAUCUGCCUGAUGGCGGGGGAUAACUACUGGAAACGGUAGCUAAUACCGCAUAAUGUCUGCGGACCAAAGCGGGGGACCUCCGGGCCUCGCGCCAUCAGAUGAACCCAUAUGGGAUUAGCUUGUAGGUAAGGUAACGGCUUACCUGGCGACGAUCCCUAGCUGGUCUGAGAGGAUGAUCAGCCACACUGGGACUGAGACACGGCCCAG